This 497-nucleotide ribosomal RNA is filed under the name uncultured bacterium. RNAcentral describes it as "partial 16S ribosomal RNA". It matches the Rfam family "Bacterial small subunit ribosomal RNA", at positions 28 to 507 of the family's 1533-position model. The record is from RNAcentral.
GAUGAACGCUGGCGGCGUGCCUAAUACAUGCAAGUCGAGCGAACGGACGAGAAGCUUGCUUCUCUGAUGUUAGCGGCGGACGGGUGAGUAACACGUGGAUAACCUACCUAUAAGACUGGGAUAACUUCGGGAAACCGUAGCUAAUACCGGAUAAUAUUUUGAACCGCAUGGUUCAAAAGUGAAAGACGGUCUUGCUGUCACUUAUAGAUGGAUCCGCGCUGCAUUAGCUAGUUGGUAAGGUAACGGCUUACCAAGGCAACGAUGCAUAGCCGACCUGAGAGGGUGAUCGGCCACACUGGAACUGAGACACGGUCCAGACUCCUACGGGAGGCAGCAGUAGGGAAUCUUCCGCAAUGGGCGAAAGCCUGACGGAGCAACGCCGCGUGAGUGAUGAAGGUCUUCGGAUCGAAAAACUCUGUUAUUAGGGAAGAACAUAUGUGUAAGUAACUGUGCACAUCUUGACGGUACCUAAUCAGAAAGCCACGGCUAACUACGUG